This 879-nucleotide ribosomal RNA is filed under the name uncultured bacterium. RNAcentral's name for it is "bacterial SSU rRNA". It matches the Rfam family "Bacterial small subunit ribosomal RNA", at positions 8 to 905 of the family's 1533-position model. The record is from RNAcentral.
AGAGUUUGAUCCUGGCUCAGGAUGAACGCUGGCGGCGUGCUUAAUACAUGCAAGUCGGACGGAGUGAGUAGUAAUACUUACUGAGUGGCGAACGGGUGAGUAACGCGUUGGUGACCUGUCCUAAAUUGUGGGAUAACAGUUCGAAAGGACUGCUAAUACCGCAUGAGAUUACAGGCGUUAGAGAACUGUAAUGAAAGGCGCAAGCCGAUUUAGGAGGGACCUGCGUCCCAUCAGCUAGUUGGUGAGGUAAAGGCCCACCAAGGCGACGACGGGUAGGGGACCUGAGAGGGUGACCCCCCACACUGGCACUGAAACACGGGCCAGACACCUACGGGUGGCAGCAGUAGGGAAUAUUGGUCAAUGGGCGAAAGCCUGAACCAGCAACGCCGCGUGCACGAUGAAGGCCUUCGGGUCGUAAAGUGCCUUUUGAGGAGACGAGGAAGGACGGUAUCCUCAGAAUAAGGAUCGGCUAACUACGUGCCAGCAGCCGCGGUAAAACGUAGGAUCCGAGCGUUAUCCGAAUUCACUGGGCGUAAAGCGCGUGCAGGCGGUUCGGUAAGUUGGAUGUAAAAUCUCCUGGCUCAACUGGGAGGGGACGUUCAAUACUGUCGGACUAGAGGACGGCAGAGGAAGGUGGAAUUCCCGGUGUAGUGGUGAAAUGCGUAGAUAUCGGGAGGAACACCAGUGGCGAAGGCGGCCUUCUGGGCCGUACCUGACGCUCAGACGCGAAAGCUAGGGGAGCAAACGGGAUUAGAAACCCCGGUAGUCCUAGCCGUAAACGAUGUAGACUGGGUGUAGGUGGUGUAAAAACCACCUGUGCCGAAGCUAACGCGAUAAGUCUACCGCCUGGGGACUACGGCCGCAAGGUUAAAACUCAAA